Molecule: long non-coding RNA, 1204 nt
Organism: Ceratina calcarata
Lineage: Eukaryota; Metazoa; Arthropoda; Insecta; Hymenoptera; Apidae
Exons: 3
Source: RefSeq, a predicted model, not a curated record
ACCACCACCUCCGGCAGUCCGUGCCCGUACAAAAUUCAAUCAAUGCGCUAACGCGCAGGUCUCCUACGACUGUGCAGACUUCGCUCAGCUUUGCAUCCCUCGAUUCUUUCCCUCUUUUUUCACCUCUUAUUUCUGGAUCAACGUGUUCUAAUAUUCGACGAAAGAGAGAUUCUAAACGGUUCGAGCUGUCGCACUUUCCCGAACGAAUGAGGCUUCCGGUUUUCAUCCGGGGCCAAGUUCCUAACAGCUGAGUCAGACAACCUGUCUACGAUACGAGGUUUACGUCGUUCGAGGGUCGAGUAUAGCCUGGGACCAAAGAUCAGGCGAUAGAAGAGAGCCACUUCUAGGUGAUAAGAUGAACCGAUUGCAUGAAAGGGGGAUAGGAUCCUAAGUGAAAAACGAUGGCAAUCAUCGGAGUUUGCGAUUAAAUUAUUGGAGGAAACGGAGAAUUAUUGGUUCCCAGUGAAUCAACACUACGUUCCCAUUACUUUUAUCAGCGCAGGGAUAAUAUUUAUCGAUCACUAUAAUUCAUAGAAACAGGUUAAGCUUACAUAAGAAGAAGAAGAGUGCACCUAUUCACAACGAAGACAUUCGACGCCUUUUUGCACGAAGGUGACCGGCUGAGAUCAACGCCCUCCAACACCACCCGAGUCCCUUUCAGGCACGCACGAUACACCUUCGUAAACCCCCGCUGCGUCGAAAACUUCCCGCUUAUUUGUAACUGAACAGCGAAAACUCUUCAGAAAUUUGCGGACACAUUUAGAAAUCGAGAACUAAUAAUAUAGGAUUACGAAUCAUUGAUGAAAACAGUACGAAGAAGAGAUGCAAUCGAGCAAAGAGAAAAAUGACAUACUUCGUAAGCAAUAAAUAAAUAGAAUUGUUCGGGUUUAUUUAAUCAGUGGUGAACCGUUUAGCCCAAGAGCAUGUAUGUAGAGAGAUGCAGAAAAUAAAUAAUCUAGACGACUGGUCACAUGUACAUCGUCAAGCUCGAUCGAACCACGGUGUAACGUCCGAGCUUUCGGAUUAGUGAAUAAAAAGGCGCGGAUAACAGAAAAUCAGCGGUUGAACCAGGGUACAUGUCGCUUCCGGUGAUCUACUAUCGCGGGCAUACCGAAAUCACGGGACUCCGUGGUCGCAACACACUUUCAUCGGCGUGGCACGUCGUCCUGAUAAAGCACACGAUGAUAAAACACACAGCACUCGC